UGUCAACAUUACCUCUGCCAAAGGAAUC
Molecule: non-coding RNA, 28 nt
Filed under: Mus musculus (house mouse)
Lineage: Eukaryota; Metazoa; Chordata; Mammalia; Rodentia; Muridae
Source: RNAcentral